Molecule: long non-coding RNA, 1818 nt
Organism: Nerophis ophidion (straightnose pipefish)
Lineage: Eukaryota; Metazoa; Chordata; Actinopteri; Syngnathiformes; Syngnathidae
Exons: 8
Source: RefSeq, a predicted model, not a curated record
GUGUGUGUGUGUGUGUGUGUGUGUGUGUGUGUGUGUGUGUGUGUGUGUGUGUGUGUGCGUUUGUCAAAGUGACAUAUGGGGACAUUUUUAUGAAAUUUCACCUUACAUAUGAGGACCUGUUGAAAUAUGGGGACAUUUUCCAUGUCCCCAUAUUUCCCGCAAUGCUAUCGUGUUCUAGACCCUCCCAGCAUGUUCCCAGACCAAAAAUCUCUGAAGUCUUCAUUUGUCAAAUUUUCAGAAAAAGUGUGUGAAAGUGUGUUUAAUUUUUUUGCUCACCUUCGAUUUUGCCCCUAGUGGCCAUCUUUGCUAUUAGGACACACACACACACACACUUGUCCUCAUAUGUCAUAUGUCCUCAUAUGUCAUGUGGGUCAGAAACUCACACACUCCAACAUUUUGAAAAACAUCUAAUCAUUACAGCAAUAAACAUACUUUUAAAUUCUAAAUCAAAUAACACAUGUUCAACUGAUCUGAUGAUCUCAACCUUUUUUAUGUUAGUUUUAUCUAUUCAUUUGGUUUAUCUGGAGAGGAUUUGGGCUAGACAAUUAGUAAUAAAGGGAUUAUGGUGAUGAUUUAAUUGGUUUGAUUCAGUAUUUUACUGUAUUGGGCUUUUUGCUAUUAUGUUGACUAAAAUACAAUGCCGCACAAUAAUUAAUUUAAAUGUGCCUGAAAUGUAGGUUUUUGCAUAAACCUUGAUUGAGACAAAGGCAAUAAUUCAAAUGCAAUUCAAACUACAUACAGUAUUUAAUAUUUUCAAAUGGUUACAAUAGCACAUGAUUUUGGUAUUUUUAUCUUUGGGACAAAUUUUGGAUUCAAUUGGGGAUUGUUUUUGGAGGUAUUCACUUCACAUUGUGUUCAAGAUGGUUACUUCCGCCCACUCUGAAGAGUCUCGGCCUCUGAUUGGUCCAAUUUUCAGUUAGGCACCGCCUGAUUGGCCAGUGGAUGAUGUCGGAUCCUAACAGAGGGCUAAAUCACUAGUUAACUAUUUUCAUCUUGGAAGUUAUACAGCUCACGUAUCACACUUAAUAUUGAAUAUAUAUAAAAAGGGUUUUCCAAAAGGACCAUUUAUAAUUGAAAUACAAAACUUCACACACGAUUUUGAGCACAACAGAGCGCUCAGUGAACAUCACUUCCGGGACCUGCAGCACCUGAGGGGGACAUCUAUCUUGGUCACAAACCAUCUUUGACAGUCUUCGGCAGCAUGGUUGAAUCAGGCGCAUCAACACAUGAAAUAGACAUCGUGCCCAAAAGAAGAGCGAGACUUAAUCCUGAGGCUGAAGCCACCGAGUUUAUUUGAUCUGGAUGUGACAAGUCUUGUUUUAAGGCCCAGUGGAUCAAUGAUUGGAAAGACACCAACUGUUGAUGUUCUAUCUCAACAUUCUCCAGAUUCAUGUGAGCGAUAAACCGACUUCAUCCCUCCAACAGACACCAACUGUUGGGGUUCUAUCUCAACAUUCUCCAGAUUCAGAUGUGAGCGAUAAACCGACUUCAUCCCUCCAACAGAAACCAACUGUUGAGGUUCCAUCUCAACAUUCUCCAGAUUCAGAUGUGAGCCAUUAACUGACUUCAUCCCUCCAACAGAAACCAACUGUUGAGGUUCUAUCUCAACAUUCUCUGGAUUCAGAUGACAGCCAUAAACCGACUUCAUCCCUCCAACAGAAACCAACUGUUGAGGUUCCAUCUCAACAUUCUCCAGAUUCAGAUGUGAGCCAUUAACUGACUUCAUCCCUCCAACAGAAACCAACUGUUGAGGUUCUAUCUCAACAUUCUCUAGAUUCAGAUGACAGCCAUAAACCGACUUCAUCCCUCCAACAGGUU